Hibiscus syriacus is the source of this 151-nucleotide long non-coding RNA. RefSeq lists it as uncharacterized. The transcript is spliced from 3 exons. NCBI's taxonomy places the organism in Eukaryota, Viridiplantae, Streptophyta, Magnoliopsida, Malvales, Malvaceae. The record is from RefSeq and is a predicted model, not a curated record.
AACAGUAUUAAUAAUCUCCACAAAGUUUCAGCCUUUAGCUACCUAAAGCCUUGUAAUAAAAGUAUAGUUUAACUUAAAAUCAGAAUCUGUAACCAUAAAGCAAAAGCAAAGGGAAAAACAAUAAGCAGAAUAUUUAUAAUAUAACAACAUG